Molecule: long non-coding RNA, 1171 nt
Organism: Melospiza melodia melodia
Lineage: Eukaryota; Metazoa; Chordata; Aves; Passeriformes; Passerellidae
Exons: 3
Source: RefSeq, a predicted model, not a curated record
CGGUAAGCUCUUCUCGCCAGUUCGCAGAAAGCUUCAUUUGCUCAAGGGAAUUUUCCUAGAACUCUUCCCUGUGCACUAGUGCCAACUAAAAAGCCACUCCCUAGGAUGCUGUCCCUGGUCACCAGAGAGAAGAUCAGUGUCCGCCCCUUCUUUGCGCCUCACGGAGAAGCUGGAGACCAAGAGUGCUACCAGCACGUCACGGAGGCAUUUUGUUGUUUUCCUCCUGGUGGCACUGCAGGAUAACACUGUGGUCCUUGGGGCCCUGUACUGCAGCUGCAUCAUUUAAGAUGCUGGGACAUCUUCUUGCUGACACAAGUUCUGUUAUGCUUGACUUGAGGACCAGUACAACACCCUUACUCCAUGACAACCUAUAACUUAUUUGAUGGGACCUAUGUUGGAUGAUUUUCUCCUCUUAAAAAGGAAAGAGCUUCGGACAGCUUAUGAACUGUAAACAAAUCAGACACACCAAUGAGAGUGUAAAAAAUCUCAAAAAAGCCUGACAUAUGACUGCUAAAUUCUUGAAAACUCUGCUCAAAGGAUGGUUUUCACUCAGACACAUCCACUUGUAUCCUUUAGAAUGUCCAGCAAGUACUGUGACUUUUGAUUGACUAUAUUGUAUGGUUCAUAUGGAAAAAGAAUGGAAGAUUUCUACUUGGAAACAUGAUUGUUCCCUUCAGGAAGAACAUGGAGCUGCCUCCAGUACUGCCCUCAUCAGUAUACUUUCCAGUUAUUACUGAUACUGUGUAUUUUGGCAGCCUUUGCCUCAAGUCACUUAUGAUCUGUUCAGUUACAUGGUGUGCAGACUAAAAACAUCCAGUCAUAGUCCUCGGAGGGAGCUUGGAAUGAAAAUAUUAAUCUUCAAACCCAGAUUUUAUAUGUGAAUCUCAUUAUGUGUUAAUUAAUUUGAAAAUACUGCCUCUCUGGUCAGCAGAAAUAUACCUUACCUAUUAAUUUACAAUGUAGUUAAGACUGAUAGAAACUAUCCUUUGAGAAAACAUGAUGCACUAGGGAGUUGCCCUGAAUGAAGUAAGAAGUAGCUGAAAUUACCAAUUAUAUCAUGAAUGUAAUUCAGAAGGAUUACUAGCCAUUUGCUUUCCAUGGAAAAAUCUGUCCCCAGGCUCAAUCCCCACACCCAUGUCUGUGUGCUCAGCCAGCCCAAGGCACUCCAGGG